This is a microRNA precursor of Otolemur garnettii (small-eared galago), 82 nucleotides long. Lineage: Eukaryota; Metazoa; Chordata; Mammalia; Primates; Galagidae. The record is from Ensembl.
GUGUUGGUCUGUUGCUGGAUGCGCUUGAUGGUUGCCCCUUUGGGGCCCACCACCAGUCCCACCACUCGGUAAGGAACCCGCA